Molecule: long non-coding RNA, 1530 nt
Filed under: Parus major (Great Tit)
Lineage: Eukaryota; Metazoa; Chordata; Aves; Passeriformes; Paridae
Description: lncRNA (ENSPMJG00000001090.1)
Source: RNAcentral
GGUAGGCUGAACACCCAGCCCAUGUUUUACCGGGCUGUACUGGAUCAUACCGGCCUGUACUGGUUUGUACUGGGGUUACUGGACUACACCGGGCUGUACUGCACUGUGUUGUCUCACGGAUUGUACUGUGUCCUGUCGGGUUGUACUGGGUCUGGUCAUACGGUACCAGGAUGUACUGGGCUGGACUGGGCCAUACUGGAUCAGGUCAGCUCUGCUGCUGCUGGACUGGGCACCCCCCAAAUGGGGGCCACAGGGUGGUGAUGCAGGGGACAGACACCCCACAAAGGGUGCCCCAUGUCCCUCCCCUCGCUCACCAUUCCCCUGGGGAGCUGCGGUCACUGCGGUCACUGCGGUCACUGCAGUCACUGGUCACUGUGGUCACUGCGGUCACUGUGGUCACUGCGGUCACUGCAGUCACUGGUCACUGUGGUCACUGUGGUCACUGCGGUCACUGCGGUCACUGCGGUCACUGGUCACUGUGGUCACUGCGGUCACCGAGGUCACUGCGGUCACUGUGGUCACUGCGGUCACUGUGGUCACUGUGGUCACUGUGGUCAGUGGUCACUGCGGUCACUGUGGUCACUGCGGUCACUGCGGUCACUGCGGUCACUGGGGUCACUGUGGUCACUGCGGUCACUGCGGUCACUGCGGUCACUGUGGUCAGUGGUCACUGCGGUCACUGCGGUCACUGCGGUCACUGUGGUCACUGUGGUCACUGGUCACUGCGGUCACUGGGGUCACUGCGGUCACUGGUCACUGCGGUCACUGCGGUCACUGCGGUCACUGUGGUCACUGGUCACUGCGGUCACUGCGGUCACUGCGGUCACUGUGGUCACUGUGGUCACUGCGGUCACUGCGGUCACUGCGGUCACUGCGGUCACUGCAGUCACUGCAGUCACUGCGGUCACUGCGGUCACUGCGGUCACUGCGGUCACUGCGGUCAGUGGUCACUGCGGUCACUGCGGUCACUGCGGUCACUGCAGGGCUGCGGAAGGGGGGACACAGCGCAGGGGGGUGGUCUCUGCGGCACAGCCGGGGCUCAGUGGGGCACAGUCAGGCCUUGGUGGGGCUGCCCAGGGAGGUUUGGAGUCCCCGUCCUUGGAUGUGUCCCAGGGAUGCCUGGAUGUGGCACUCAGGGCUCUGGGACAAGGUGGGGGCACAGCCUGGACUCGCCGGCCUUGGAGGGCUUUUCCAGCCUCAGGGAUCCUGUGGUUCUGGAGCGGUGGCCACAGAGUGGGGAAGGGACUGGGGGCUCAGGGGGUGCAGCAGGAGGUGCUGAGCGUGGAGCUCCGGGGCCCCGCCAGCCCUGCCAGGACCCCCAGCACCCACCGGCGCGGGCACCACCAAACCCCAGCGCCGGCAGCACCACCUCCAUACGGGACCCACAGCCCCCCAGAGCUCUGUCUACAGCCCCAUGGCCCCCACGGGACUCCCGGGACCUCCAAGUUGUUGCUCUCGUGCCCUCCUGGAUGUGGCCCCACACAGGUCCCUGCUGUCCCCAGGGCCACGUUCCUGUGUCCCACUGUCCAC